CUGAAAACAUCAAUUCAAGAAAUAUGAAUUUCUUCACCAUUGUUCAUUCUUUGAAGUAUUCUUUGACUUUUCUUCUUGUUGCAAUUUCAAGGCUGCUUUGUUGGUGGAACCUGCAAAGAUGGUGAUUGUGGUUUAAAAGCUGAGUUUGGGUGUUGCGGAAAAAGAUAAGGAUGAGGCCCUAUAAUGGAAGAAGAAUGAUGAGUCUACAUCAGAGAAACUGUAACUGGGUUCAAAGGACGACGAGGCGAACGUGACAAAGAGUAACCCAUAAGAGGUACAAACACAGGUGUUGGGAGUCCGCCAGCUUAGGAUUCCACUGAGCCAGUUUGGAAGGAACUCUAUUGAUUCGGAGCCCAGUUGUAGUACCAAACCUCCUAUAUAUAUUUAUUUAUUCAGGGGUACGGCGAGAGCCCUGUCCCGCCAUAUGUUACUAUUAAUAUUCUUAGAGGUCUAUAGACAUAUGUAUGGGUUAUACAUGUAAGUUCUAUUCAGUUAUGCCUACAUGAUGUAUUGUAAAUAUUAAGGUACUAGGCAGCCUUGUCGGCUUGCUCGCCCUUUCAUGUUAAGAUACAAAUGAAAGAGUCUACAAGUAUGAAAAUGCUAGGACCCAUUGGGGUUCUUAUGGAUAGUUCUUAUAUUGAUCGUUACA
This is a long non-coding RNA of Solanum dulcamara, 649 nucleotides long. RefSeq lists it as uncharacterized. The transcript has 5 exons. Lineage: Eukaryota; Viridiplantae; Streptophyta; Magnoliopsida; Solanales; Solanaceae. The record is from RefSeq and is a predicted model, not a curated record.